UAAUCAGGUUUCUCUCCUCCAUAGUUGCGUAGGGCCUGUGUGACCUCCAUUUCUAAUAACUGCGUUUAUAUUAACAGUGUGUGUUUAUCCUCAGGUUGUCGUGCUUGGUUCUCUGGUUCAGUAAUCAGGUUUCUCCCCUCUCUGGUUCAGUAAUCAGGUUUCUCCCCUCCAUAGCUGCAUAGGGCCUGUGUGACUUCCAGUUUUAAUAACUGCGCUUAUAUUAAAAUUAGUGUGUGUUGUGUGCUGAACAUAUUUUUGUAUAAGAAUAAAAUUGUAUUUAUAUUUUUCCAUACACGCUUCUGUAUUCAUUUGUGCACGUACCUGUGUUUAGUAGGGGAAACCCUCUGUUGAGAGGCUGGAUUGUUACCAUUCUUAGGGUGAAAGUCCCUAGGUGGCGUUGUCGGUUCCAUGUUAAAAGAUACCAGAAGACCCUCACCAGUCCAAACCUGGUUACAUUAUCAUGUUCACAGAGGUCGAGAGCAAUCUGUUUCCAUGGACGUUCGGGCAGCAGUGUGGAGAUAACUGGCUCCUUUUGCUGAGCUCGCGACUCUACAGUGUUCUUAAGUUCUACAGAGAGUCCAGGCCACCAAGCUGAUACAUUGGCUCUGUCUCUGCACUUUAUUAGCCCUUUGUGUCCAUCAUGUAUCUUCUGCAAGAUGCCUGUUCUCAUUGACCUUGGAACAAAAAUCCUGGUUCCUCGUAUGUUGAAGUCAUCAGCUUCUGACAGCUCAUUUUUCACUUUCAUGUGAUUUAUGGUGGAACAUUGCUACUGUGGUAGGACGGCUCAGUCCGCCUCCACUCGUAUUGUGUGCAUCAGAUCCGGUCUGCGCAGCUGGGAGUAAUCUGCCUAAUGCACCUUGCUUGCUGGGCGGUGCCACACCCAGUUAUAUCUAGGAGAGGGCUGUGCGUCUCGUACAUGCAUCCUCUUUCCUGUUCCUGGGCCGGAGGGCUACAUUAGUAGCAUGGCUUAGCAUGGAUUUGCGUGGUGGUUUUGAGACGCUGGCUGUCGAGCUUUCGCUGUUUCCUGUCAUCAGAGUCGGGCCGUAUUCUGGCUGAAGGCUGGGAGCCGGGCGUAAUAAUUCACGCGCUGCAUUUAAUUUCUGAGUGAUUGAGCUGCAUUUUUCUGCGGCUGUCUCCCCUGUUGCCUGAAAAGCUGUGGCUACAUUGACGGGCGGCUCUACUUCCUGAAGCGGGCUACUGAUGUUCUGUCACCAGUUCAUCGCGGCAAGCUCUCUGCUCAUCGGCAGCUGUUUUGUUGUUGAGCUGUUGGGCCAGGUGGCUGGUGGCUGACUGAUUUCCCCCGGAGGUGGUGGUCCCUUCACUCCCUGUACAAUAGUGCACUUGGGUGUUCGUCAAUGAUUUUGUUUUGUUCACGUGUGGUGUGGUGCAUUAAGACCCUUCCCUUCUCCCCUCCAGUUCGUCAUCGCUGCCUGAUAUCGCCCAGUCAAGAGCAGAACAGCCAAAGCAGCCACAUCUGUAAAACUUCCUGCGAACCCGUCAAGGGGACAGAAGACGGUGUUUUUCAAAAGACUGGUACAGCAAACGUAAAUGGCUGGAAUAUUGUCAAAGUAAGGACUCUGCCUUCUUAUGCUUGUCGCCAUUUCAAGAAGAGGGUUUCAAAAAUUGGAAAAAGGCAACCUUCAAAGAUGUCGGAAAUGUCCAAUCUGCACUGAUUACAUAUAAUAAACUGGCCUAGGACACAAAGAGAGGACAUAUUACCCACUAGCCAAAGCUACUGAAUAGAAUGAUGAAUCAUAACAUGCUUUACCUAACAAUCAGUGAAAAAAAGAAGUACAGAAAAUUCCUCAACGUUGUCUUCAACACAGGAGCAGAGGUAUCCUGAGAACAUAAGGUGGACUGAUCUUUAACGUGGAUCAGCUAACCCUCCUAUGUCACAUUUCCUACAUGAUGAUGGAUAAUGUGCUGCUUUUGUAACAGCCUGUGUACCUGAAAUGUUUGCAACCCACACACAGGCCCAUUAAAAUUCAGAGUAAAGCUUCACAUUGAACGUGAUAUGUCCGAUAGCCAGCUAUUUGGUGUUUUUACUGUCAAAGCAUCCCACAAGUCCUCAGCUCAUUACUCUGCACUCCAUCGUUAUGUUAAAAACAGUCAUCUCUGAGCACAAAUGUGAAAUGCUGAUUAAAUACAAGCAACACACAAUGCUUCUCUUGUACUUGGAAUACCUGAAAUCAUCCAAAUGUCUUCAACUGUCUCACAUCCUAAACUGAGCAAACAGAAACUAGUAUGAAGCAGCUCUGCAGGUCCCACUCAUCAGGCCUUUGGUUAGUGGUUCAUAGACCACCCAUACAAGAAAAUUACUGGAGGGCCAUGGCACUAAGAGAGAGCAUGCCAGAGAUAAGACUUGUCUGAGACAGAAGUAGCCGUCAACUGGCCAUUGGGCAUACAGAGACAAACGGCAGUGAGCUGCUGCACUGAGCAGCAGAUCAUCAAAAAAAAUCCAUCAAUUUUUUACCAGGCCUGUGUCAUUUAGGGUAUGCAGGAGAUCAUGCUACCAUACAUAAUAUGUAAUCUACCCUGACGACCUGACCCAAGCACCCGCCAUCCUCUGGACCUGUCUCCACGGACAAGUCUCGGGCUGAAUUUCUUUCUGACUGCAAACCUGGAAGGAAACCUCUCAAAAAAGUGUUAUUUACAGGCAGGCGAGGCUGACUUCCAGAGGAAGAGCAGAGAGACAGGGCACUGGACAAAAGCAGCCUUUUUCUCAUCUGAAAAACAAAACAAAACAUUUAACUUUUACUCAUUUCUCCAGGAGAGUGGGCUGCACAAACAAAAUACUUAAAAUGAAUGCUAUUCUUUCAUUACUUCUAUCAAUCCAGCCAACUUUUUUUUAAAGGAAGCAAAAUUCUGCUACUCUAUAGAGGAAAUGUAUUCCAUUGCCAUCUACAACCAGCACUCAAGUUAUACAUAGACUGAAAGCAACUUUUGCUAGGUUUGGGAUCCCAGAUGAAGUGGUGAGUGCCAAUGGACUUCAAUUUUCUAGUGCGUAAAACUGGCGCAGCAGCUUGACUUAAGACACAUCAUGUCUAGCCCUCACUAUCCUCCACCAAAUGGUCACGCAGAAAGGGCAGUGCAGACCGCAAAGAGAGUCAUCCAGCAGAAAGACCCGUUGAUAGCCUUCCAUGUGCUACCAUGGGGGUCAGUCCAGCAGAACUGCUGAUGGGGAGGAAAGAUCAGAAUGACUCUCCUUAUGCUUGAGAAGAAUCUACGGCCCAAAUGGCCCAACAGAAAGAUUGUCAAACAAAAGGAUGCUAAUGAAAAGGCUAAACAAGCUUUCUAUUACAAUCGCCGGCAUUGUGACACACAUCUAUCAGUUCAAUAUCUGGGAGACACCGUCUGCACAGAGCUGGGCCAUGAAAAGGCUUGGAAGACACCAGCAGUCUUCUUAAAAGAGGCUCGAGGUAAGAUCUCGGAGUAACCUCCGAGGUCUUAUCUCAUCGACAUGCAGGGAGAAGCAGUGCUGCGGCGGAACAAACUCCAUCUCCGGGCAGAUGCAACUCCUCAACCUGCAACAACCGACCAGCCUGCCUCCACUGAGGGUGCAGGGAUGGACUCCCAAUCUGCAAGUGUCACCACUCCAGAGACCGUUUCCUCUAAAUCAAGUGAGGUGAUUAACCCUGUGCACACACAAACACCAAGACGGGCCCUCACAAGAUCAGGCCGUGUCAGUAAGCCAGUUGUUAGAGUGGACUUUUGGAGCACUGCGUUUCUAGGUGUUAAACAAUGGACUCUGGGGUGGAAAGGAAGCAUCUAUGGCUUUUUUUUGGGGGGGGGGGGUGAAAAGAGAAACAAGACAAAACAAAUGACAUGAAGCAACAUGUAAACUUUAGUUAUGUUGAGCAAUUUGAGUUAAAAGUGACAUUUGCUAAUGUUUUGCAGAGAGAAAUUGCAUCCUGAGUCUAUUUUAUAGAGAAAUCUAAGCUAACAAGGGUUGUGAAACUAACCUGGACUGAUAAGACAUUUUAAGUUUGAUUAGAAGGCCAAAUGAAUGUGUGUUAUCACAGUUUGGAGAUACUGUUUGAUAUAUUACUGGGCCGUCAUCAUUCUGUUUAUAUGCACUUUGUAGUUAUUGGGAAUAAUUUGGAAAAAGGGAGAUGUCCCAUAUGCACAUAGCACGCACUUUACUUGCUUUGUGACAUGCUUUACGGCAGAACGAAAUCUCGCCUAUGCUUGGUAGCAGCAUGAGUUGUUGUGAGUUGUAUGCUGAAUGGGUGGCAAGUGAAUAAAGCCAAAUUAGUAAAGAAACUCGCCUCCGAUCAUUCUACACCGUGGGGGUAGUCAGUUUUGUAUUCUAAUUUUGUUUUAACAGUCUAGUCCUGGUGUUCCUCCGCUCCAUUAGGGAGCUCUGUUGUUAGCUGAGCCUGGUAAAGCACCUCUUGUUUCAAGAUAAAGUUUGUCAUUUCCAGCUGUUCUUUUGUGUGCUGUAAAUAAAAUUAUUCUUAGACACUCCAACGCCUGAAUGUUGAAUCUCUGUUGCAUUACGCCUGGGUCUCUGAUUCAUUUCGUAACGCAUAUGCUGUUAAUAUCGAACAUGUAAUGUAUAUUGGUUCAGACAAGACACUUUGUCAGAUUUUAACCAUUUCAGACUGACAUGCAUUUGUGUUUGGUGGUGACUCUGCUUGAGUGAUGCUCUGGAAUGAUCUGCACAAGCUUGACACAGACAGUCUCUGAGAUCACAAACCCCCUGGCAGAACCUGAUAUUGAAUAGGAAGCAAAUCUAUACAUGCACAUAUUUCUUAUAACAAUGAGGAGGCUGGGGAGAAGGGGGGAGCAGGUUCAUGACCAGUGAAGGCUGAAGCAGCAGUGAUGUGGCAGCCCAGAGCAGGCAGAAUGAAUAAACGCUGCCCCAGUUUUAAGGUGCCCUAAUAGGGAGGAGUGGACUGACUAUGAGCACGAUUGGACAGUGUAGAACCUUGUGACUGGCCUGUAUGAGCUAGCGUAAAACUGUAUUUAUCGGUCCUACUUUUACUGCCAAUAAUCCAUAUCUGCCCUGAAAAAAAAAACAUAUCAGUUGAUUGCUACCCUUUGAUUGGUGCAGAUAUGGACGUAUGUAAGGGAAACCUGCAGACAUUACUUAGGCCUGGAGAAGUCCUGCAAACAGUUUAUGAUUUAUAAGCAGCAGUCAGGCAAAGAUAAGGCGCAAAGUACAGGAGCUUUCUUUGUGGUACUGACCCCCAUGGUAGCAUAUGGAAGGCUAUCAACGGGUCUUUCUGCUGGAGGAUUCUCUUUGCGGUCUGCACUGCCCUUUCUGCAUGACCAUUUGGUGGAGGAUAGUGAGGGCUAGACAUGAUGUGUCUUAAGUCAAGCUGCUGCGCCAGUUUUCCGCACUAGAAAAUUGAAGUCCAUUGGCACUCACCACUUCAUCUGGGAUCCCAAACCUAGCAAAAGUUGCUUUCAGUCUAUGUAUAACUUGAGUGCUGGUUGUAGAUGGCACAUGUAUCUCCAGGAACCGUGAAUAGUAGUCUGAAAUCACAAGUAAGUUGUGUUUAUUGUGACCGGCUGAUGAGCCAUCAUUGCCAUACAGCUGUGGGGGAACUAAUGAUUGGUUUGGCCGUUGCAGCAGGGAGUUCAAAUUGAUUGACGGACGUAGCUCCAGUAUACUCCUGAACAUUUCUGGACAGGUACGCGCUGUGCAGCACGUGAAGCACUGGUAAGCUUUAGAUUUUACAUUAAUAUUGUUUCUUCUUUUAAGACCAGUCUUCUGUGGCUGCAGGGCCGAGUCCAUUGACGGUGUCUCUGCUUUUAUCGGCGGUGUCACGCGCGUGUAGGAUCGGACAGCCAAGGUAACCAAAAUGUUUGUUUAUGCUUAUUGUUAUCGUUCUGUUGCUUGAUUGUGGUUAAACAUUUCUUUGUUUCAUUGCAGUUUUGCCUCUGUUGCCUUGUCUUUUUGUUUGUUUAUUUUGUUGCUUCUUUCUUUUAGUUUGUAGUCGUUUUGCCUAGUUUUGUAUGAGUUUGCUUGAUUCGAGUUUAGUUUUGUUUUCUCCCCGUGUGUGUUUAUCCUUAUCGUGGCUGUGUUCUCUGGCUCAGUAAUCAGGUUUCUCUCCUCCAUAGCUGCGUAGGGCCUGUGUGACCUCCAUUUCUAAUAACUGCGUUUAUAUUAACAGUGUGUGUUUAUCCUCAGGUUGUCGUGCUUGGUUCUCUGGUUCAGUAAUCAGGUUUCUCCCCUCUCUGGUUCAGUAAUCAGGUUUCUCCCCUCCAUAGCUGCAUAGGGCCUGUGUGACUUCCAGUUUUAAUAACUGCGCUUAUAUUAAAAUUAGUGUGUGUUGUGUGCUGAACAUAUUUUUGUAUAAGAAUAAAAUUGUAUUUAUAUUUUUCCAUACAUGCUUCUGUAUUCAUUUGUGCACGUACCUGUGUUUAGUAGGGGAAACCCUCUGUUGAGAGGCUGGAUUGUUACCAUUCUUAGGGUGAAAGUCCCUAGGUGGCGUUGUCGGUUCCAUGUUAAAAGAUACCAGAAGACCCUCACCAGUCCAAACCUGGUUACAUUAUCAUGUUCACAGAGGUCGAGAGCAAUCUGUUUCCAUGGACGUUCGGGCAGCAGUGUGGAGAUAACUGGCUCCUUUUGCUGAGCUCGCGACUCUACAGUGUUCUUAAGUUCUACAGAGAGUCCAGGCCACCAAGCUGAUACAUUGGCUCUGUCUCUGCACUUUAUUAGCCCUUUGUGUCCAUCAUGUAUCUUCUGCAAGAUGCCUGUUCUCAUUGACCUUGGAACAAAAAUCCUGGUUCCUCGUAUGUUGAAGUCAUCAGCUUCUGACAGCUCAUUUUUCACUUUCAUGUGAUUUAUGGUGGAACAUUGCUACUGUGGUAGGACGGCUCAGUCCGCCUCCACUCGUAUUGUGUGCAUCAGAUCCGGUCUGCGCAGCUGGGAGUAAUCUGCCUAAUGCACCUUGCUUGCUGGGCGGUGCCACACCCAGUUAUAUCUAGGAGAGGGCUGUGCGUCUCGUACAUGCAUCCUCUUUCCUGUUCCUGGGCCGGAGGGCUACAUUAGUAGCAUGGCUUAGCAUGGAUUUGCGUGGUGGUUUUGAGACGCUGGCUGUCGAGCUUUCGCUGUUUCCUGUCAUCAGCAGAGUCGGGCCGUAUUCUGGCUGAAGGCUGGGAGCCGGGCGUAAUAAUUCACGCGCUGCAUUGAAUUUCUGAGUGAUUGAGCUGCAUUUUUCUGCGGCUGUCUCCCCUGUUGCCUGAAAAGCUGUGGCUACAUUGACGGGCGGCUCUACUUCCUGAAGCGGGCUACUGAUGUUCUGUCUGCAGUUCAUCGCGGCAAGCUCUCUGCUCAUCGGCAGCUGUUUUGUUGUUGUAUGAUGUUUUUAAAAAAAAUAAUAAAAUAAAAUAACAACGAUCUUGGUGUGCGUAUGCCUCUUGCCCAGCACGCCUGUUAUUGAGAGUAUUAUUAUUAUUAGGGUUGUUGCUGUUUUUUUUUUUUUGUAUUAGAAUUGUUAGUAUUAGAAUUGUUAGUAUUAGAAUUAUUAGUGUUAGUAUAGAUCUUGGGAUUCUUGAUUAGUUAGUUUUGUUUAUUUACUUAUUUGUUGUGAUUGCAUAUUUAAAUUAUUCAGUUAUCUUUUUUUUUUGUUUUGGUUUGUAAAUUUUGUUUUCCUUUUUUUUGGUUUAUUGGGUUGACUGGGCGAGGGAGUAAGGGGUGCAUGUUGGCGUAAUUGGCCUUGGUGGUGACCUCGUGGGCCCAGCCUAGUGUGGUGGUGACCCUUCCCUUCUCCCCUCCAGUUCGUCAUCGCUGCCUGGUAAACCCUCAGCCCUGUGCCUGGUGGCACACUUAAUUAAGUCAGGGGGGGCCCUUGAGGAUUAGAUUAAUACUGUGCCACUUACUACCGUUAUGUCUUGGCAUCGCCAACAAGGUCGGUUUUAGAAAGAGUGUACAUUUUUAAAUAUUGUUAAUAAAUUUCAUUUUUCUGUACUUAAAGUGGAAUCGCGUCAGUCUCCGGUGCCUUUCGUACCUGUGUGACCUUUCUUGUGGUCUGUAUUAGAGUGGUGGUCCUCCCUAAAUAGAUCUCCUGGGGGUGAUACUCCCCCAGGUGGCGUUGUCGGACACGUGAUAGAUAGCAAACAUACAUCUAACCCUCGUAGCCUUGCCACACUACUGUAUUCAGGCCAUCCUGAUCUGAUGACUUUGGUGACAGCCUGUAGCUCGUUGUCAGCUGCUGUUGCCAUUCUGAUACUCUCCAGCUUAGUUGGGGAUGCUGGGAUGCCUUGUAACACCGUGGCUAGAUGCCACGUCACCUUGUGUGUCAGUCUUUAGAUGUUUUUGAGGGCUGCGGGACAGGGCAUUUGCCUGGUACAUAUUCUGCUACUGGACUGUACUUCAGGAGCCUCAUUAGUAGAUGUUGGCAUCUCACGAGGACAUUGUCUAGGCUUCGGUUGUCGUCAAGUGGUACCAAUGGCUUGUGGUCAGUCCCCAGCCUGAACUGAUCUAAGCCGCACAGAUAUUUGUCGAAUUUCUCAAAAGCCCAAACGCACGCCAGGUGCUUUUUUUUUUCUAUCUGAGCAUAGCGUGUUUCGGCUUCUGUGAGACAUCUGGAGAAGUAAGCUACCGGUUUCCACUUCUCUUCGUGGAGCUGGGGGAGUACACCCCCAAGACCAUAGCUGCUGGCAUGGACAGACACACUGAUGCAGCAACAUCAUAGAAGGCAAGAACUGGUGCUGGUUUUCGCAUCUCUUUAAUGCUCUGAAAGACUGAUUGUUGUGAGUGGCUCCAGGUCCAGAUGUUCUUGCUCUUCAGAAGCAGUGGCUGACCUAUUGUGGAUAAAUUAGGGACACACCUUCCCAGGUAGUUCACCAUGCCCAGGAUUCUUUUUAGCUCCUGAACAUUUUCUAGUGGGGACAACAAGCCCGCUGACUCACCUUCUCAAGCCUUCUCGAGCCUAACAUUGUGUUGGUCCAUUGUGGUCUCAUAGACGAGCAUGUCAUCCAUGAAGACUUCAACACCUUCCAGCCCCUGCAGAGUUUCUAGCAUUUUCCGCUGGAAGAUUUCAGGUGCGCUGGAAAUCCCGAAGGGUAAUCUUUUAAAACAGUAUCUGCCAAAAGAUGUUAUGAAGGUUAUUAGCUUGCAGCUGUCUGGAUGCAGUGGGAUUUGCCAAAACCCGCUCGUGGCAUCAAGAGAGGAGAACACAGCUGCUCCACUCAGCUUGGCUGUUCUUUCAUCUGAGGUAGGUAAGAUAUACCAUUCUCUUUUGACUGACUCAUUUAGCCUUUUUAAGUCCACACAGAUUCUGGCUUUGCCGGUUUUGCUUCACCAUAGGCGCACACCAUUUGGUUGGCUGUGUCACCCGCUGAAUGGCACCGCUCUUCUCCAUCCUGUGUAGUUCCUGUUUUACCUUUUGUAACAUAGGGAAGGGCACACAGCGAGCAGUGUGCACAACAUAUGAUUGAGCAUCAUCUUUCAGCUGGAUUUUGGCUGGUUCAUUUUUUAGAGUGCCAUGCUCACCAAAAGUUUGCAGAAAUCCACUUGUGGCACAUGUCAUUUCAUCGACUCGCUGUACUAAGCUAAUUUUCACUGAUAAAGGUUGCCUGAGCAGGUUGCUGACACUCUGGCCACAGACUACAUAUGCUUCUAAUGGGUAUUCCUUUCCCUUGUAGCUAACUGUAGCAUUGAUACAGCCAAGAUACCAAAGCUCACCUGCUGGGCUGAAAUGUCAGCUGAUUUCAGAGUUCUUGGUGGAGUGAGUUUCUGAAAGGAGUCCUCGCUUAACAUGUUGACAUCAGCUCCCGUGUCUAUUUUAAAUUCCAUCUGGAUGGAAUCCACCUUUAGUUGCACAGUCUACUGUUCUUUCUCCUCUGCACUGCACACUGAACCUAAAUAAAAAAUUUCCAGUCAG
Molecule: long non-coding RNA, 9839 nt
Organism: Amphiprion ocellaris (clown anemonefish)
Lineage: Eukaryota; Metazoa; Chordata; Actinopteri; Pomacentridae
Exons: 7
Source: RefSeq, a predicted model, not a curated record